Molecule: ribosomal RNA, 406 nt
Filed under: alpha proteobacterium BAL149
Lineage: Bacteria; Pseudomonadati; Pseudomonadota; Alphaproteobacteria
Description: bacterial SSU rRNA
Rfam family: Bacterial small subunit ribosomal RNA
Source: RNAcentral
GCGGCAGGCUUAACACAUGCAAGUCGAGCGCCCCGCAAGGGGAGCGGCAGACGGGUGAGUAACGCGUGGGAAUCUACCCAUCUCUACGGAAUAACGCAUGGAAACGUGUGCUAAUACCGUAUACGCCCUUCGGGGGAAAGAUUUAUCGGAGAUGGAUGAGCCCGCGUUGGAUUAGCUAGUUGGUGGGGUAAAGGCCUACCAAGGCGACGAUCCAUAGCUGGUCUGAGAGGAUGAUCAGCCACACUGGGACUGAGACACGGCCCAGACUCCUACGGGAGGCAGCAGUGGGGAAUAUUGGACAAUGGGCGCAAGCCUGAUCCAGCCAUGCCGCGUGUGUGAUGAAGGCCCUAGGGUUGUAAAGCACUUUCACCGGAGAAGAUAAUGACGGUAUCCGGAGAAGAAGCCC